This 483-nucleotide ribosomal RNA is filed under the name uncultured bacterium. RNAcentral describes it as "bacterial SSU rRNA". It matches the Rfam family "Bacterial small subunit ribosomal RNA", at positions 30 to 514 of the family's 1533-position model. The record is from RNAcentral.
AUUGAACGCUGGCGGCAGGCCUAACACAUGCAAGUCGAGCGGUAACAGUCCUUCGGGAGCUGACGAGCGGCGGACGGGUGAGUAACGCGUAGGAAUCUACCCAGUAGAGGGGGAUAGCCCGGGGAAACUCGGAUUAAUACCGCAUAAACUCUAUGGAGCAAAGGGGGCUUCGGCUCUCGCUACUGGAUGAGCCUGCGUGGGAUUAGCUAGUUGGUGAGGUAAUGGCUCACCAAGGCGACGAUCUCUAACUGGUCUGAGAGGAUGAUCAGUCACACUGGAACUGAGACACGGUCCAGACUCCUACGGGAGGCAGCAGUGGGGAAUAUUGCACAAUGGGCGAAAGCCUGAUGCAGCCAUGCCGCGUGUGUGAAGAAGGCCUUAGGGUUGUAAAGCACUUUCAGUAGGAGGAAGGUCAAGUAGUUAAUACCUGCUUGGAUUGACGUUACCUACAGAAGAAGCACCGGCUAACUCCGUAGCCAGCAG